RNAcentral lists this non-coding RNA (628 nucleotides) under Moesziomyces antarcticus. Its description in RNAcentral is "eukaryotic LSU rRNA". It matches the Rfam family "Eukaryotic large subunit ribosomal RNA", at positions 48 to 657 of the family's 3401-position model. The record is from RNAcentral. RNAcentral also lists the same sequence under 1 other name. Lineage: Eukaryota; Fungi; Basidiomycota; Ustilaginomycetes; Ustilaginales; Ustilaginaceae.
UAGCGGAGGAAAAGAAACUAACAAGGAUUCCCCUAGUAACGGCGAGUGAAGAGGGAAGAGCCCAAGAUUGAAAGCUGGCGUCUUCGGCGUCCGCAUUGUAAUCUCAAGAAGUGUUUUCCGCUUCGGACCAAGCCUAAGUCCCCUGGAAAGGGGCAUCAUAGAGGGUGAUAAUCCCGUACAUGGCUUGGAGCGCCCGAGGCUUUGUGAUACGCUUUCUAAGAGUCGAGUUGUUUGGGAAUGCAGCUCAAAAUGGGUGGUAAAUGCCAUCUAAGGCUAAAUAUUGGGGAGAGACCGAUAGCGAACAAGUACAGUGAUGGAAAGAUGAAAAGAACUUUGAAAAGAGAGUUAAACAGUACGUGAAAUUGCCAAAAGGGAAGGGUAGGAGGUCAGAGAUGCGGCCUGGGAUUCAGCCUUGCUUUUGCUUGGUGUUUUUCCCAGAUUGCAGGCCAACGUCGGUUUUGGGCACUGGAGAAGGGUAGGAGGAACGUGGCACCUCUCGGGGUGUGUUAUAGCCUCCUACUGGAUACAGCGACCGAGACCGAGGACAGCAGCGUACUCGCAAGAGCGGGCCUUCGGGCACCUUUACGCUUAGGGCGUUGGCAUAAUGGCCCUCUACCACCCGUCUUGA